GCCUGGAUAGCUCAGCUGGCUAGAGCUUGGUGCUUAUAAUGCCAAGGCUGCAAGUUUGAUCAGUCGCAUAUUCCUGGAUUGCAGGGG
Molecule: non-coding RNA, 87 nt
Organism: Podarcis lilfordi (Lilford's wall lizard)
Lineage: Eukaryota; Metazoa; Chordata; Lepidosauria; Squamata; Lacertidae
Source: the annotation of a GenBank genome assembly